CCUACGGGUGGCUGCAGUGAGGAAUAUUGGUCAAUGGGCGCGAGCCUGAACCAGCCAAGCCGCGUGAAGGAUGACUGCCCUACGGGUUGUAAACUUCUUUUAUAAAGGAAUAAAGUGAGGCACGUGUGCCUUUUUGUAUGUACUUUAUGAAUAAGGAUCGGCUAACUCCGUGCCAGCAGCCGCGGUAAUACGGAGGAUCCGAGCGUUAUCCGGAUUUAUUGGGUUUAAAGGGAGCGUAGACGGGUUGUUAAGUCAGUUGUGAAAGGUUGGGGCUCAACCGCAAAACUGCAUUUAAUACUGGCAGUCUUGAGUACAGUUGAGGUAGGCGGAAUGCGUGGUGUAGCGGUGAAAUGCUUAGAGAUCACGAAGAACUCCGAUUGCGAAGGCAGCUUACUAAACUGCCACUGACAUUGAGGCUCGAAAGUGUGGGUAUCAAACAGGAUUAGAUACCCGUGUAGUC
Molecule: ribosomal RNA, 460 nt
Filed under: uncultured bacterium
Lineage: Bacteria
Description: partial 16S ribosomal RNA
Rfam family: Bacterial small subunit ribosomal RNA
Source: RNAcentral